GACGAACGCUGGCGGCGUGCUUAACACAUGCAAGUCGAACGGAAAGGCCCUGCUUUUGUGGGGUGCUCGAGUGGCGAACGGGUGAGUAACACGUGAGUAACCUGCCCUUGACUUUGGGAUAACUUCAGGAAACUGGGGCUAAUACCGGAUAGGAGCUCCUGCUGCAUGGUGGGGGUUGGAAAGUUUCGGCGGUUGGGGAUGGACUCGCGGCUUAUCAGCUUGUUGGUGGGGUAGUGGCUUACCAAGGCUUUGACGGGUAGCCGGCCUGAGAGGGUGGCCGGCCACAUUGGGACUGAGAUACGGCCCAGACUCCUACGGGAGGCAGCAGUGGGGAAUAUUGCACAAUGGGCGGAAGCCUGAUGCAGCAACGCCGCGUGCGGGAUGACGGCCUUCGGGUUGUAAACCGCUUUCGCCUGUGACGAAGCGUGAGUGACGGUAAUGGGUAAAGAAGCACCGGCUAACUACGUGCCAGCAGCCGCGGUGAUACGUAGGGUGCGAGCGUUGUCCGGAUUUAUUGGGCGUAAAGGGCUCGUAGGUGGUUGAUCGCGUCGGAAGUGUAAUCUUGGGGCUUAACCCUGAGCGUGCUUUCGAUACGGGUUGACUUGAGGAAGGUAGGGGAGAAUGGAAUUCCUGGUGGAGCGGUGGAAUGCGCAGAUAUCAGGAGGAACACCAGUGGCGAAGGCGGUUCUCUGGGCCUUUCCUGACGCUGAGGAGCGAAAGCGUGGGGAGCGAACAGGCUUAGAUACCCUGGUAGUCCACGCUGUAAACGGUGGGUACUAGGUGUGGGGUCCAUUCCACGGGUUCCGUGCCGUAGCUAACGCUUUAAGUACCCCGCCUGGGGAGUACGGCCGCAAGGCUAAAACUCAAAGGAAUUGACGGGGCCCCGCACAAGCGGCGGAGCAUGCGGAUUAAUUCGAUGCAACGCGUAGAACCUUACCUGGGUUUGACAUGGAUCGGGAGUGCUCAGAGAUGGGUGUGCCUCUUUUGGGGUCGGUUCACAGGUGGUGCAUGGCUGUCGUCAGCUCGUGUCGUGAGAUGUUGGGUUAAGUCCCGCAACGAGCGCAACCCUUGUUCACUGUUGCCAGCACGUUAUGGUGGGGACUCAGUGGAGACCGCCGGGGUCAACUCGGAGGAAGGUGGGGAUGACGUCAAGUCAUCAUGCCCCUUAUGUCCAGGGCUUCACGCACGCUACAAUGGCUGGUACAGAGAGUGGCGAGCCUGUGAGGGUGAGCGAAUCUCGGAAAGCCGGUCUCAGUUCGGAUUGGGGUCUGCAACUCGACCUCAUGAAGUCGGAGUCGCUAGUAAUCGCAGAUCAGCAACGCUGCGGUGAAUACGUUCCCGGG
Molecule: ribosomal RNA, 1343 nt
Filed under: uncultured bacterium
Lineage: Bacteria
Description: 16S ribosomal RNA
Rfam family: Bacterial small subunit ribosomal RNA
Source: RNAcentral